UUUUUUCCCCGGCAGUUAGUUAGUUUAGUGCUAGCGUAGUUAGACGCUGUAGAAUAGCUGAAGCUUUUUGCUUUUUUUUUCUUUUUCUUUUUUUGUCCUUUUUUCCUUCCUUUUUGCUUUUUUUGUCCUCUCCUCGGAACUGUUCCAACCUCUCCGGACUAAGGACCUGGGGAAGCACCGGGGGCCUCCACAGGGGACUCACCCCACCAAGACCAGCCCUGCACAUCUCCUUUUCUCCCAGCGUCAGCAGAGACGGAGCGGUGGAGCACAGUGACCACCCUCGAGGAGACUUUCUUUAAGUUUGUUAUCCCUCCAAUCACUGAAUUGUUAGGGUUGGGAAGGACCUUUGGAGAUCACCCAGUCCAAGGCAGGGGCACCUGGAGCAGGAAGGUGUCCAGGUGGGUUUGGGAUGUCUCCAGAGAGGCAGCUGUUCCAGGGCUCUGCCGCCUCCAUGGUUCUAACAUGAUUUUGAAAAUCGAUGGGAAAAAAAAGAAGAUCGUAGGAUGACCACUUAUACCAAGGAGCCCGACUGGGUGGUGUGAGAUGAAUGAAACAAGGACAGAAAACAAAGAAUGUGGGCACUGGAUUGAAACAAUCAUUGAAAGACAUUGAUCAAGUCUGUUUCCUUGGUGUUACUCAAUAAUUUUCCUAAUUUGCAUUGGUAGAAGCUGAGGCACGCGUACACCGUAGGUCAAAGGUGGCUCUGCGCUGAUAAUUAUUGAAGGUUUUGGGCCUCAGUGCCUCCUUGGGUUCCUAUGCACAUUCCAAAUUGAAUUCCAGCUGUUCUGCUCCCUCUGGGAAGGGCAGACAGAUGUGCACACCCUGGGCUGGGUCCAAACCUUAGCCUGGGCAUCGCUGCCACCGAUGGAGCUGCACAGAGGGUUCCAAAGCACAGCCCAGAUCUCAACUCUGAUCCAAAAAAACCCACUCAAGUAUUCAAUACUUUCCUCAGCAUUUUAGAACGAAGUCGUUCCACAAAGACAGAAAAAUAUAAAUUUGUUGUAAGUGUUGUAUGAAAAAUUUGCAGUCAUAUCAAGUGCAUGAAAUCAAAGAAAUGAGCAAAUCUGCUUUGGAUACACUGCAAAAGUGAUAGAGCACAGUUAAAACAAUAUAAAAAUCUUAUUAAAUAGCUAAAUCUGGAAGCAUCUUAUAUUGUUUUAGCAUUGGAAUUAGAAUUCCAUAUAAACUGAGUACCUCAAGACUGCUUUGCAGAAAUUGGUGCUUGAGUUGAAACAGUGCUAUAAAUAUUUGGGGGCUUUUAGCACAGGAGGUUCCCAGCCCAGGAUCUCAGACUCUGCACAUCCAGAUCCCUCAAAUAAAGCAAAUUUACUUGACCAGUUUCUGAAACCUAAAGUAAACUUGGCUAAGACCUAUUUAUAUAGCAUCAAACCAAUAUAUACCGAACAGUCACAAAAUGAAUAUGGCCAUUCCAAGCCACUGCACUUAAACUGGAUGUUAUUUGUAAAUUACUGUAAAAUGCACAUUCUUUGAGAAGGAGUUCCU
Molecule: long non-coding RNA, 1503 nt
Organism: Hirundo rustica (Barn swallow)
Lineage: Eukaryota; Metazoa; Chordata; Aves; Passeriformes; Hirundinidae
Exons: 3
Source: RefSeq, a predicted model, not a curated record